GUGCUUGGGGCCCCGACGCGUACCCAGGUGCCAUCUGGCCCUCACCUCCCGCCGUAGCUGGCUGUGACGCCCGCCAUGGGCACACUGGGGCAGUGCAGUGAGAAGACGAGGAUGCCCAGCAGGCUGACAACGGUGCAGAACAGGCAGAACUUGAUGACCGCGGAGCCCCGGAGCCUGAGCUUGUUCACAAAGAAGCCGCCCAGGAAGGUGCCGCCACCACCCGCUGGCACCACCAGGGCAGCCACACCCCCUCCUCCCCCAGGGGCCUCUGCCGAGUCCCUGCAGGCUGUGACAAGGACAUUUGUCGAAGCCUGAGUGGCCACCAACAGUAAAAAAUUGCGAUUAGCUGGCAUCUAGCUUCUGGGCUGACAAGUGAGGAGGGCACAGAUAGUGGACCCUGGAAGGGUAGAGCGCGGUAGAUUGGCGGUGGUGGCCCACAUGCCUGGCACCUCUGCCAUGGCCCAGGGUACUCUGUGAACGCUGGCAGGAGGAGCAGCUCUGAGGAGGGGUCCCCACUUUCUGCAGACCUGCCCAGCCUGGGAAGGCCAGCCUGCCUCUGGCACCGAGAAACCCCCAGCUGCACUGUUCCAGGAGGUCCUGAGGCACCAGUGCCUGGCUCAUGGAACAGCCAGGUCCAAACCCUUCCUGCACCAAGUCACAGAAGCCAAGACUAGGUGGCUAGGGGGUGGAGCCCACCGUGGACCCUUCCACCUACGGAGCAUGUCCCACAAAGAGGGCAGGACCACCACUCUCCCGGCCUGUGGACAGAGUCGCUCAGCCCCCGUGGCGCUCUCCACACCUGCUCUGGCAGCGGGGGUGGGAGGGCACUCACUGCCAUGUGCCCUGUCUGGGUCUUUCUAGAAGAUGCCCUUGAAGACUCUGUUUCUGAGAACUGACAUAAAAGCAGAGGACCCCCAAGAUUCAGUUUUCUCACCAAACAAGGUGGCAGCUUCUGAGGCACUCAGGCUGAACUGGGACUCCAAGAACUUGGGGCUGAACGUGGACAUGCCGGUGAUGAGAGUGGCCUCGGUGGCCCCGGCCAGGCAGAGCAGGAUGAACGUGGGGUUCUUCAGCAGGAGCCAGAUGGAGCUGGGCAGAGUGUCGCUGACUUGAACCCCUGCGUCUGCAGCUUAGUGACAUCCUGUAAACCUACACUUUCCAGCCUCUCACCAGAGCAGACUGUCGGCCUCACAUCACCCCCACCUGCAGGAGGGCGGCUCUUUCCUCUCGGCCACACCUAGAGCCUGGUUCCGAUGAACGCAACUCUGAAUGCCUGGAACAUUCAAAUGCUCUUGUUUGAGGAGGUGGCCAAAUGUAAAUGGAUUCUGAAGAAUCAGGAACAGACGGUGCAGCCCUAGUUAGCCUCUGAGCCCCAACAGGCCCACAGGUGCCUUGCAGAGCUGAUGUUGGCGUCAGAAACUCCGCUCCAGCCUCACAGGCACUCUGCCUGCUUGGAGGUGUUCGCUGGCUCGCUCAGACUGACCUCAGCAGCCAUGAACAUGGGUUCUUUCUGUCCCCUUCCCUGAUUAAAAUGGGAGAGCCCAGUUCUUUCAAAAUUU
This 1559-nucleotide long non-coding RNA is filed under the name Homo sapiens (human). Its description in RNAcentral is "HSALNT0402385". Lineage: Eukaryota; Metazoa; Chordata; Mammalia; Primates; Hominidae. The record is from RNAcentral.